UCAGAUGAAAACAGAAAGCAGAAUCCUGUAGCAGUUUUGACCAUUUGUCUCUCAGCUCAUGGAUGUGGAUGGAGGAAAUGCUUAUGUGAGUAAGCUGUGUCAUUCAUGAACUAAGUUCACCUGCAUUGUUCCUUGUGGCUCUCAGAAACAGGCUCCAGACAUAAACAAACAAAAUCACCACACACUCUUCAAUAAGGCCCUACUAUCCUUCAUACAAAUGACAGAGAGAUCAAGGCCAAGUGUUGAGCUGGCUUGUGCUCUACUGCAGCUUACCUGAGUUUGGCUACAAGGAAAAAAGCUCCAGAUGACAGUGCGAAGGCUUACUGGCAUUCUCCUGCAGAUGAGGAAAUAUAUGCAUAUGGAGUUGAAAUAAAACACCAAGGUUUUAUUCUUUGAAAACUCAUGGGACAAGAUCAAACUGAAGCCUCACUCCCAGGGAACCUGUCCUCUGAAUCUCUGGCAACUUGAAAAAAGGCAAAGCGUCAACGGGGAGUGCCUUCAGGGCUUAAAGACCUUACUCUGGGUAAAUCGCAUUUAGAACUAACUGACCUUGUUUGAUAUCUAACAUUCAAACUUCUACAGCUGAGCUACAGGAAGAUGUUAUUUUUUUUUUUUUUUAAGAGAGGGGAGGGGAUAAUUCAUUAUAACCCUUUACUCUCCCCCAAAUAAGGAUAUUUAAGCGUAAUGUCAUUUGAAUGAUUUGGGGCAUGUGAAAGGCCUGGAUAUAAAGGUCCCUGUCCCUGAAGUGGGCUACCGAGCUCUGGGAAAGUCUGUCCUUGAGUGCACAGGUAGAGGGAGGCAGGGGCAAACCAGGACAGACACACACUGAGAUGACAGAAGUAGCAGUGACUCAUGGGGAAGGCAAGCCUGUGCUGUCAGGAUGCUGUUGGAGACCUUGCCAGUUUAUAAAGUCUUGAUUGCUUCCCACCUGCUAAGAUAAAGGGGCUCUUCUCAAGGGCGGGACACUGGGUUUCUGUCUUGACUCCGCAUAGACAAAGAUACUUCCCACAGUGUUUGUUUACCUUUUAGCUUUGUCCACAAACUACAGACCAAGAUGAAUCCUUACCCUAGAUAAUUCAAGUUUGAAUUAGCACAGCCCGUUCCUCUUCCCAGGUGGUUCCUCUCUCUCUAAGUAUCCACCACUCUCUGUUCUCAUGUUAAAUUGCAUAGAGAUAGUGUUUGGAAUAGGGUGUUUUUCCCAAGUUAUAAUUCACUGUGUCUGAUUUUAUUCUUAAUAAACUGUAGCAUUUAGAUGCUGGGGUGGGAGCUGGAGUGUCUUGGUGCACAUGCAGCACCUGUCCCCCCACACUCAAGACCCUGCACAAAUCAGACCCCAAAACUGGAAAGAAGAAUGAUAGAACACAUUGAUCAAAAAGACAAGAUUGGUAAAAUCUCCAAGUGGUCAAAAUGAGUGCAAAGGAACCGAUUACAAACUCUUACACACUGGGGGCUGGAGAGAUGGCUCUCGGGUUCAAAGCACUGGCUGU
Long non-coding RNA from Onychomys torridus (southern grasshopper mouse), 1487 nucleotides. RefSeq lists it as uncharacterized. NCBI's taxonomy places the organism in Eukaryota, Metazoa, Chordata, Mammalia, Rodentia, Cricetidae. The record is from RefSeq and is a predicted model, not a curated record. The transcript has 4 exons.